This 2840-nucleotide long non-coding RNA is filed under the name Zea mays. Its description in RNAcentral is "long non-coding RNA (ZMAY_LNC001440)". Lineage: Eukaryota; Viridiplantae; Streptophyta; Magnoliopsida; Poales; Poaceae. The record is from RNAcentral.
GAUUUUCUCGCUGCUGACCCGGGACUAGCUCCGCUUCGUGCUCGGACGAACCGCCCCGCCAUUGUCGCGCGCGUGGAUCUCGCCGGGAUCCGGCACGUGGACUUCUUUUUCCCCCUCGCGCAUCUGGGUAUAAGACCAUUCCUUGCCCAUUCCUCUGACACCGCAAGCCCGUUAGCCGCACCUUGCACCGUGCCGAGACGCUGGAACCAGAGAAAGAGGGCCGAGGAAGUCGCUCCGCGCCGCCGUAGCCACUGCGCAUGCGCAUCUACGGUCAACCAGUGACAGUGGGAUCUGUGUGGAUUGCACGCGGGUGGGAAAUUGAGCUCGUGAGCCAUCGUCGUUCGGCGAAUUGCUCGCCAGAAUCUGUGGAUUGCCGCCAUCUGCCAUUGCUCGUGGCCAGCGUUCCUCACCGUGCUAAACUCGGUAUGAGCUUCCCCCUGCUGUUUCCUUUUGAUCCAUCGACGCAUAGCACUUUUCGGGUUUGGGCUUGGGAUCGUAGAAUUGGGCGGCUCUGCAAUGGCGCCACCGCGCCAGGCAGUGCACCGCCGUUCGGACACCGGAGGAAGGGUAGAUGACGAUCCCAGGGUCGUUGAUCUCGCGAUGGACGUUUAGGAUUAGACCAUGGUAGGAUGAUGUGUGUGCCAUUGAUCUCAACGUGUGCGGCUGCGAUUAAAUCGGUCGUACCGGUUCGGGUGAGGCCUGUGUGAACCGGGCGAUGUUGAUCCUACGCACUGGGUUGGUUUUCGUUACUUUAAAUCCACGGCGUCGAUCUAGGAUCCGAUGCGUACGAUUGCAUACCGGUUUGCUUUUAAUCCUCGCCGUGCAUCGCGGAUCCGUUGGCUGAGUCACGUUCGUACCCCUUCGCCGAGGCAAGUUGCAAAAGACCCCUCGGUGUUAUAACAAAUAAACACGCGAUCCAGAGCCUGUAUCCUGUGUCUCGGGCGUUUUACAUAGAAGCCCCUGGGCUUUUCUGUAAUAGUGUGCGCGGUCCAGUGAUCCGAGGGAUUGAUAAUUAAUUACAGAAAUGAUUUUUUUAAUAUAAAAAUAAUUCCUAGAACUUGUUUAAAUCCUAUAAAAUUCAUACUAAGUCCAAAUUUACCCAUUCCAGUCCCUAUAAUUUUAUAAUAUUGUUGUUUAUCAUAUAGUUCCACUGUUUUGACAUGAAAAUUGUAUUAAAAAUUAAUCUCUUGGUUAAUCUUGUAUUGAAUACAUAAAACCUUAGGGAAUUCAUAACUCCUCCGUUUUUACUCCGAUUUGAUCCGUUCAAGUUGCGUUAGUCUCGUAUAAAUAUUUACUAUGCAAUAACCGCAUUUAUUAUACCAUAUCCCAUUCUUUUAUAAUUAGAUCUUUAUUUAACUUAUAUUGGUUAGUCUCGUUAAACUACUUAUCAUUAUAAUCUACUAGAAUAUAAUCUGUGGUCAAUUUAUAACUUAUAUUUAAGUUGAGAUUAUUAUUUAUAGAAUAACCUUUUAUAUGAUUUAUAUUAACCAAUUUAUAAUAUAGUUUAACAUUUUAAUCACGUCCUCUAUAAAAUCAUAACUCCGAUCUUAGUAGUUCUCGGUCCCGCGAUCUCGUAGCAGCGCGUAGAUCAUUGUUAUAUGUUUUAUUCUUAUCUGUGGUGUGAUGGUAAUUUUGUACAUAUCAUGUUUGUUUGUAUUGCUACGUCUAGCGUGAGGUCAUGAGGAUCUGAAGAAUCACCCUGGUAACUGGAAUCUCAAGUGCCAGACAAGUUGUGCCCUUGAUCCACUUUUGUUACCCAAUAAUAUUCUUUAUUAUCACUAUUCAAUGCAUAGGUUUAAUUUUGAUGGGACCCAAUAGGUCACCCUAGUCUGUUUAUCAUGUUUAUCUUGUUUACCCCUAAUUCACUUGGGUAGUUAUGCUAUUGCAUUAUGUGGUUUCAGAUUAAUAUUUCAUUAUAUCAAUGUUCCAAUUAUUCUGUUAUGUUAUUUAUAUUCAUGAUAAGAUCAUUAUGUUAAUUGGAACAUGGAGCGACCACCCGGGAAAACAGUGCUACCACAAGGGUUUAAUGGGACGCCCUUGGCCGAUUAACUAGGAAAGCUAGUGGAUGACUACCUUACCCGAAAGGGGCAAGGGCAGUAGGGGAGUGGUCAGUGUAGGGAGGUCCUUGGGUUGAUUUGCUGCGAUGGUGGUCAGGCGAGGGAUUCCUGCACUGGAGCUUCCUAUAAACUGUAGCGGGUUUUCUGAAGCUAGUGGAACUUUGUAAAGGCCUCGUAGUGUUACCCUGCCUCACUUCCUUGGUAGAGGUGUAUGGGAUUCAUGACCCCUUGGCAGAUGGGUAACACGGCUUGUGGGUAAAGAUGCGCAACCUCUGCAGAGUGUAAAACUGGUAUACUAGCCGUGCUCACGGUCAUGAGCGGCUCGGACCCUCACAUGAUUAAAUUAUGGAACCUAAACUCAAUUUUUCAUUUGCAUCUGCAUGGGAUUAUUUAUUAAUUUUGUUCUAUUAUUUAUUAUGGUUUGGUAUUUACUUACACUUAGUAACUGCUAAUAAAAUUUUGACCAACUUAUAAAAGCAAUGCUCAGCUUCAAACUUUAUUUGUUGAUCAGCCUUACACUUCACAUGAACUCCCACCUUUUGUGAGUUCAUGCACAUUAUUCCCUACAACUUGUUGAGCGAUGAACAUGUGUGAGCUCACCCUUGCUGUCUCACACCCCCCCACAGGAGAAGAACAGGUGGUUCAAGUGGAGCUGCAUAUCGAGGAGUUCGAUUCGAUCUAGGUGGUGUCUCCCAGUUCACUUUCUGGCGCCAAUGAUAGUUUUUAGAUCCUGCUAUAUUUAUCUUUUAUUUUGUAAGACUUCCGCUAUGUAAUAAGUACUCU